RNAcentral lists this ribosomal RNA (572 nucleotides) under Naganishia globosa. RNAcentral describes it as "partial large subunit ribosomal RNA". It matches the Rfam family "Eukaryotic large subunit ribosomal RNA", at positions 67 to 629 of the family's 3401-position model. Lineage: Eukaryota; Fungi; Basidiomycota; Tremellomycetes; Filobasidiales; Filobasidiaceae. The record is from RNAcentral.
AACAAGGAUUCCCCUAGUAACGGCGAGUGAAGCGGGAAGAGCUCAAAUUUGAAAUCUGGUAGCCUUCGGUUGCCCGAGUUGUAAUCUAGAGAAGUGUUUUCCGCGUUGGCCCAUGUACAAGUCCCUUGGAACAGGGCGUCAUAGAGGGUGAGAAUCCCGUCCUUGACAUGGACCCCCAAUGCUUUGUGAUACACUUUCAACGAGUCGAGUUGUUUGGGAAUGCAGCUCAAAAUGGGUGGUGAAUUCCAUCUAAAGCUAAAUAUUGGCGAGAGACCGAUAGCGAACAAGUACCGUGAGGGAAAGAUGAAAAGCACUUUGGAAAGAGAGUUAAACAGUACGUGAAAUUGUUGAAAGGGAAACGAUUGAAGUCAGUCAUGCUCUUUGGAUUAAGCCGUUCUGCGGUGUAUUUCAUUGAGCGGGGUCAACAUCAGUUUUGAUCGCUGGAAAAGGGCAGGAGGAAGGUAGCACUCUCGGGUGAACUUAUAGCCUCUUGUCGUAUACAGUGAUUGGGACUGAGGAACGCAGCAUGCCUUUUGGCCGGGAUUCGUCCACGUACAUGCUUAGGAUGUUGA